AUGUUGGAGGAAGAACAACUUUCCUUUCGUUCAGACUCUGCCAUGUUUGACAGCAGUUAAGACUACUCUCAUCAACGAUUUCCCUUCCUUUGCUUACUACAUGCAUAUCUAGAUAGUAUACUUAUAUUAUUUCCAUAAAUUUUUGUUGUAGUCCCUAAGAAAGGUUCUACAACAUCUCGAUCUCAUUCGUGUCAUUUUUUAUAAAAUCCUUUUUAUUUUUCUCCAUCAUUUGUUCUCAUUGACUUGUCCUUUAAUUUUUUCUUCUGCUCUUGUUGGAUUGUUUCUGUCAGAUUUGGAAGGUAGGGUAGUUCUAUAUUUCUUUUUUUCUGGUGCCAUUAAAGUUGCAAAAAAUCUUACCACUUGAUGUUCUUGCUUCCUUUUCAAGUCUGAACUAUCUUGAUAUUGGAUGUGGUUAUGAAAGUUUCGGGGCACAUCUCUUUUCUAGCCAACUAUUUACCAUGUGUGUUGUAAAUUAUGAAGCAUUAGGCAGUCAAUUUCAGCUAACACUUUAAAUCGGUCUUCCUUCAAUGAUUUGAUCAUUUAAUUCAAAGCAGUUGGCUUAUCCAUCUCUUUCCUUUGAUGUGAUACAUUGUGCAGAAUGUCAUCUUGACUGGGAUCAAAAAGGAUUUACUUGAUAUAGGUGAAACAAUAGUAAUUGAGUCGAGGAAUUGAUUAUUUUUUGAGCCUAUGAUGGAAGCUGACAAUUUGAACUGAAAGUUGAUGACUUAAAUAGUAGAAACAGGAGUUACUUCAGGAGUUACUUGAUCAUUUUUUUGCUAUGUAUUCAAAUGUUAUGGAAAAUUUGAUAUCAUACUCUAGCUCGAUUAGGAUGGUAACUAUUUUUUUGUAAAACAAAUAUUGAAAUUAAUAUCAUGGGAUGUUCACUAAA
Molecule: long non-coding RNA, 889 nt
Organism: Capsicum annuum
Lineage: Eukaryota; Viridiplantae; Streptophyta; Magnoliopsida; Solanales; Solanaceae
Exons: 2
Source: RefSeq, a predicted model, not a curated record